CUCGUACAGCGACGCGCCAGGCGCCAGUUUCAUUAUAAAGCGCUUCCUCUAUUAAGUAUAGAGGAGGCGCUGGCUCGUUCAAGGUAGAGAUUUUAAAUAUUCAGCUGGUGACGGUAUGUUUUUGACGUUCCGGAGACUUGCGUGCGUCACCUGACGAACUUGCGAAGUCGUUAGUUAAGGCGUGGGCCACCACUCCGGUCGCGAACUUCGCGGUGUCGUUGCAAAAAGUGCUAGAGACGCAGUGGACGGCGCACGGACGACGCCGUGUUGUGCAACGACGGUCAAGUAUAACUGAGUGUCGACGAGGACGUUAUGUGAAUUAAUGUUCAUCCUGUGGAGGCAAAAACUCAACCAAUCAGCAGGAGGCGUGCGCUGUUGGAUUCCUUUCAGCACCACCAGAUGGCGCUCGCAUCCGUGACGGCGGCAGCGCCAGCCAUAUGGGGAAAAGCAAAAAAAGAAGAACCAGAAAGGUCACCUUCACGCAUAGCGUUUGCCACAAGUGUUUCCCGGUAAAGAUUGCGGUUGCAUAAGCUGCAGUUGCCGGGAAGUGGCAACUGUAGCAUACGAAGCAGGGAGUGACGUAACUACACUUUCGUAUGUAAAAGAGGAACCCACCUAGCAACUGAUUUGUGUAGUGGCAGUGAUAUGGGAAGGCCACGUAUAGCGAGGACUCUUGAAGAGCAGCGUGCAUACGAGGCGCAGUGAUGCAUUUAUCUUCUUUCUCGUCCACUCUUUGGAGCUGCACGAAGUAGUGCCACAAGCCAAGUCGCAGGCUGUUGAAACAUCUGAGGCUAAUAGUUAGUAAAAUGCAUGUGAAUAAUUUCAACCUACGUCGCAGUGGGUAAUCGUUCUAGGUGUCGUUUACAGCUUUGCUGUCCAACCACCUUCACAGCAUGGAUUGGAGACCCCUUUUUACUAUUUUCAGAAAGUGUUGCGGGGGUCCCUUUAAACAUUGGCCCUCAGACUGAUGUCAUACUUGAUCAGUAGAAUCAGUGGGAAUGUGUAGCCACAAUUGUGGUGACUCUACUGAAUACUAAUCCACCCAGGGUAACACAUAUGCAAGAAACACUGAAAUGUGUGUGUUGUUUCUGCUUGCAAUGAUCAUAUACCUUGAAGGGCAUUUUGUUGUUUUAUUACCUUAAAUGGCGUUACCUGAAAUGGAGGAAUAUUUAGGAUUUUUAUGAAGGGAGAAAAGUCCGGCUGAUUAAUGGCGAAUAUGGUCCGAUGUAGUGCUUCUCUUUAGUGUCAUUUAGCAUUGCAGUUGUCUUUAUGUGAUUGUUCUCGCAUGUUAGCAAUGUAUGCAUUUCCACUUGUUACCUUGAAUUUUGUGGUGUUCAUUGAAGGUGAUGCACUCAGCCCAAACGGUGGCCGCUGCUGCACAAACAUCGGACAUUUCUGGGUCAAAUGAACAACGGUGUUAUUCAAGACAGCACCUUUCUCCAUUGUAUAUUAUGUCAGAAUUCUGAACCUGGUUCCUUGAACUGCAUUUGUUUUCACUUUCGCACAUAAGUGAUAUUUAUUGUCAUUACUGUAGGGCUGCAUGAUGUACCUAAAAUCACUCUCCUUUCGAAUUCUUUUUUCAUGUUUGAGAGGUCAGUAAUGUCCACGUUCUUUAGAGAACAUGCUUUAUACACUAUUCUUGUGUGAAAAUUUCAUAAAUAUAUGAUUCCUUUGCUUUUUUGUGGCAAGCAUCAUACUCCUCAUUCCCGCCUCUGUACAGCUUUGUAAUGGCCCAGAAAUUAGCUUACCUAGUUAGCAUUUUUGUUAUGCUGUGUACUCUCACCUAGGGCAUUUUGGUGAGUCUGUAGCUGCAGGUUACGAGCGACUAUCCUGUGACAGUCAAACUACAAGUGCCAAUGUGCACUAAUGCAAUGCGUUUAUUGAGUACCAUCCAGGUAGCAGCUGAUGAAGGUGAUAGUUCUGAGACAUGCAUCCUCUUAAAGGUGCCCAAAGGACAAGUGCCUGUGUAUUCUGAAUCAAUGUCGUCUUAUGGUGCUUCAUGAAAUGGGUUGGUCUUCAAAAAAAUCAUAUAUUUAGAUUUUAUUAAGCCUCUGAAUAUACUGUAUAAUUCAUUAGGGACAGUUUAUUAAAUAUGAAUAGUAUCCCUCCGUAUAUGAAGCAUAUGAAGUCCUGAUGUAGAGGGUAUCUGUAUGUGUAGGAUAUAUUUCUUUUUUCACCUUCAGAUUCCUUACUUGAAAACCUUCGUGGCUGUAGGUGUAUACUGAAUUGGGCUGGUAGCUACAACUAGCAUUUCAUGAUAGUUGUAGCUGUGCUAAUGUAAAUACUCUAGCACCACGGCAUAGGUGCUAGAGUGUGCUAGAAUAUGGUCAAAUAGGUUCGAAUGUCAGUUGGGGUGCAUUCAUUCAGGUGAAAUGCAUACCAGUUAAUUAUACUGUAGCAGUCAAUGUGAAUUGGAGUAUGCCACCAAGAACUUUGGGCUGUUCCAACAAAAAUUUUUCACCACUAGGUAGGCUGUGAUGUAUCUCCUGUCGUCUGGCAUUUUCAGCCAUGUGAUAGCGACACCGGUGUAUGUUUUGAGGCGCUGUGGAUCACACUACGUUAGUCUCUAACCAUGAAAAAUGCUUGUCAUGCGGUCUUGUAACGCAUGCAGGGCACCUUUCAACAAACAUUGUAUAGCUGUUUUAUACAAAUGCAUAAAGCUUUUGUAUAGACCACAUCUGGUGCUGUAGUUUCCAGCAUUCCAACAUCCAAGUUGCCUUUGUUGCUGUGAAGUUUUUUUUACUAAGGGAGAAAGUCAAGGGAAUCAUAAUUGUUCAGUGACUAGAAGAAACGUCAUCAGUACUCACCAAUCGAACUUUUGAUGUGUUGAAUGAGAGUGCUGACAGGAGCAUUGGAAUACUUCUUUGGAGAAGGAUCUGUUGUUAUGAAGAUUGUGGGCAAGUACUAAUUAUUGUUCAAAACAACAAUGCUUUUAAAUUGAAAAAAAAAUAUAUAUUUCAGUCUCAAGAAGUAGGCUUUGCAAAUAUAUGAGAACUAAUAUGCUGUGAGGUGUAGCACCAUGCCCCCUGCCUAAUAUGUUUCUCAAUGCAAAAAGAAAGAGUUUGUAUAUGUUGUUACUGUUUAUGCUGGCUUUAACUGUGAUCUUUUUUACUGUUAUAGAUGUGUCCAUGCCUACUACAAGACAUCCAAGAAGUUGUGUGCUUUAUGCUGCUUUAGGCAUUGCCAGGACUCCAGCUCACCAGAUCCUUCGCAUAAAGCAUCCACUUGUUUGCUCUGUUGCAUGACACAGCAGUUUGAUAUGACUAAUUUACCAUUGGGACAGUGUUAUAACUGUUUACUGAUUGCCACCUAUGUCUUUUCUUUUGUCUGGAACAAGUUUGCUGCAAUUUACUAGCAGUGCAGUAACGCAACACUGCAAUGUGCUAGCAAAGAUUGUACUUCAGUCGAGGUAACAUAUAGUGUGAAAUUUUGCCUGUCUUUAGAGUUCUCUUGAACAGUCAAUGCAUGUGUAGUGUGUUUGUGACAUCUCAUGUGACAGAAACACUAAACGAUAGCUAAGUUACCUUUAGUACUUUGUCGUUUCACUUUGCUUUUGCUGAAGCAAUAAAACAAUCAUGUAAAAUAUUUACAAUGCAGUAUUGGAGAGAAACAAUUGUUUGUGUAAUGCAGAAAAAUUGUGACUGCAUUUUCUUCCACCAGCAAAGGGUAUGUUAACUGAACUUUCUUAAAUGCUGUGUUUAUCUAUAUUUUGUCAUGUCUUUCUAUUUUUAUUUUCUUUCAUAAUAAUUGCUUUCAUUCUGUUCAUACUUCAUUUCAUACGCUCUACAUGUUUUAACAUCAGUUGAUGCUUUUGUUGUGCUGCAUUGUAUAAAUUCUUCUAUGCAAAAAAAACUGCAUAGUGCUUAGUUUAAUAAGUGAGUGUGUAAGGCAGUGUUAUGCGUAAGCUUAACAUAAAAAUUGCAUGCAAGAUCCGAUCUCUAUGCAUUGGCUGCAGGAAUUUGUAUUCAUUAAAGAUAGUUAUUUACAUACAGCGAGAUAGAACUUGAGUAAUGUAUGUACUGCAUGAAUGCUGUGUGGCCACAACAGCAAUAUGUCGGCUGGGUAGCCCAAAGUUACCCCUAUUUUGCAUACAAAUGUGGCAAUCUUUUUUGACUGCCAAGUGUAGCGCUACUGUUUCGUUAGAGUGUACUAGAAUGGGGGAGUGGGUCCAGUGGACGCUUUGGCAAGCUCCUAGGGUGAAGCAAAAACGUAGAAAUUGUGGCGGCGCUGCCGUCACCUUAUUCUUAAUCUCCGGCCAACAAACGUUGGCUCCUGCUGUUUCGGCAGAGCCCAUUGGCUGAGGCGAGCUCACGGGUUGAGUAGCUGUCGUCUGCUCGACGCACUGUCAUUGCUGCAUCAUUUGCAUUCUUUUCGCCGCUCUUUUUCCAUUUUAUUUACAAUAAAUCGGUGGAGAAUAGUAUCAGUGUUGCCGCUACCGAGUAUCCACCUGUCAAAGCUCUAUGCAGCUGCAGUAGGGUCUCCGACGCAACAAGCGUCCGGCCGGUGUGCAGGGUCGCUCAUUCGGGAGAAAGCAACGGUGGCGCCACCAACUUUUCAAUAAAGAAAGCCUCAGCGGGGAGCCUGUGCUGGACCCACUCCCCCAAUCUAGUACACUCUAGUUUCGUCAUGUGUGUGACACAUUGUUCAUAUUGCCUUCCGCUGCUACGUGUGACUUUGCAGGUUCCUUACCAUCAAUGUCCUUGGAGCUCGAGUCCGAACACGAAACGCUACUCUGCCGGAUGUGCUUUCACAAGGCUGAGAAAAAGCCCUGCAUGGACGGACAUGUGUGCACACACACAGGCAAGCGGCCCUUCAAGUGCGACCUCUGCCCAUGCACAUUCAGUCAGAGGGCCAACCUGAGACGGCAUAUGCAAAAUCACACAGGAGACCGGCCCUUUUCCUGUGUGCACUGCGGUGCAUCUUUCACACGGAAUGAAACCCUCUGGACACACAUGUCUUAUCACACAGAGAAGAAGCCCUAAAGAUGCAACCAGUGGUCUUGCAGCUGUCAUAUCCUGUCAGAACAACCUGGCGACUUCAAAGACUGUAAGGGCAUGCCCAUCAAGCCACCACCGCUGCAAGCACAGCUGUAGUGAAGGUGACAGCCAAGACUACACCUGAAGCCACCGCCAAAGUUGCAGCACCUAGCAGGGCACGUCCUGCCUGCCAACAUGCUGUCACAAGCAUUCUCACCACAGCCUUUUGACCAGAAGUCACAAGUGAUGGCAGUGGAUGUGCUCGCAGCUUAAAACCAAGCCCUGAAUACUAAUCCAUCUUCGAUGGGUGUGUGCCCAACGUGUGUUGCAAAUCCAUUUUUUUUCCUGUGGAAUAGAAUUCAUGUUAAAGUUGUAUAGUCUAUGAUAAUACUGUCAAGGUGUUUCUCCUAAGCAACCCUGUAGAAUUGCUUUGUCAUUCUGCAGCCUUAUUAGGCAAUGACCUGAGAUAUAUGUGUACCUUGUACAUAUUGUCAAUGUAUGAUGAGUGCAGCCAGGUUUGCAGUGCAACCUAGACUUGGGUUGUGCCUCAUAUACAUGUUGUGCCUGUAGACAUCAUGUAAUCAUACAUAAAACUCUUACAUAGUGUCCUCCACAGUCUUGCAGCUGGCGAUUGGGCAAAAUGAGCUUCUGUCAAAUUGUACUAAUUUUUUUUUUUUUUUGCAUGCUCAGAUAGUCCAUCAUCACGAUUGUCCAUAAGAGAAAAAUUUGCAGCUGCCUCUUUGAACACAAUUCUUUUACUAGUGACCUGCAAGCAUGAAUUAGCAGGUGAUAGUAUAUGUAUGCUUUGCUCGUUUAAACAUUGGCCCUCUGUCUGCUAUCCUAUGUGUUUAGCAAAGCCAGCGCAAAUCUGUAGUCUAAGUAAGGUGACUACACCAAAUACUUUCACUUUGCACAUACUGGUAUUCAUUAGUUCUCAUUACUGUAGCACUGCAUGGCACACCUAGAAUUACACCUUUAUUUCUGUUUGUCAAGCGAGUAUUGUUUACAUUUUUUUAGUAAACAUGCUCCAUAUACCGUACCUUCCGGUGUAUAAGACGAAUUUUUUUUCUGAAUUUUUCGUCGGUGCGUCUUAUAGAACGGUGCGACUUAUGUACUUUUUUUUCGUAAAAACUGCCGUCAAAAUCAGAUUCAAUGUUAUGGCCGCAUGCUGGUUGAUUUAAUUGUUGCGGGUUCUGUGCGCGCUAUCGAGGUGGCGAGUACGUUCUCGUGAUCAAGUUCCCGGGCGGCGGCAGACUGUCCGCGAGUCGGCCGACCCCAAAUUCGUCGCAUCUGCAGAUCACUGUCAAGAUACGGCCCAAGCCGCUGCGCAAGCUAUGCAGCUGCUACCAGAGUACAAGCCUCAUCCUCCCUCCCGCGCUGCCAUCCCACUUUCCUUCCUUGUGCGCGAUUCGGCUCACCGUCGGACGCUUUAACUCACACAUACAGCAUACAGCGCGAGGAGACAAUGUUAUCGUCCUUCGACUUUAUACGGAACAACGCGGCAACCAUGACGGCAGAAAUGCGCCUGAAGUGAAAAUAUAUGGCACCCAUACGCUUGCGCGUGCCACGCGUUCACGGAGUGAAACGUCACUGUAAUUUUUUUAUAUCGCUUACCGAGCGAACAGGUGCAUCUUAUACACCGGUGUGACUUGUAUACGUUUUUUUCUGGAAAAAUUGCCGUUUUGAGGGGGUGCUCUUAUACAAAGGUGCGACUUAUAGACCGGAAAAUACGGUACUCUUUGAGGAUGUCAUGAAAGUAUGGUUCUCAUGCUGUGCUACUAGCAACCAUUAUAUGCUUUGUUCCGGCCUUUAAUGUACAACAUUGAAUUGCCCACAGAAAUGGGUCUUUCUGGUUGGUUUUUAUACGAUACUUUGAUUGCACUUUCUCUUAGUGAAUUUUAGUGAGUCACUAGGUGUAGCUUAGUAGUGGCUAUGCUGGUCGCAGUCAGGCUACAUGUGCAACAAUGGCUCCACAUUAAAUAAGUACCGACCAGGUAGCAGCCAAUUAAGCACCUACGUGGUAUGUAUGUCCUCUGACAUGUUGCCAAAGGACGACAAGUGUCUGUGCAUUCUGAAUAAAUUGAAUUGUGUUAUGAUGCUCCAUAA
Dermacentor silvarum is the source of this 7082-nucleotide long non-coding RNA. RefSeq lists it as uncharacterized. NCBI's taxonomy places the organism in Eukaryota, Metazoa, Arthropoda, Arachnida, Ixodida, Ixodidae. The record is from RefSeq and is a predicted model, not a curated record. The transcript is spliced from 4 exons.